This 423-nucleotide ribosomal RNA is filed under the name Escherichia coli. Its description in RNAcentral is "bacterial LSU rRNA". It matches the Rfam family "Bacterial large subunit ribosomal RNA", at positions 896 to 1315 of the family's 2925-position model. The record is from RNAcentral. Lineage: Bacteria; Pseudomonadati; Pseudomonadota; Gammaproteobacteria; Enterobacterales; Enterobacteriaceae.
CCGGGGGUAGAGCACUGUUUCGGCAAGGGGGUCAUCCCGACUUACCAACCCGAUGCAAACUGCGAAUACCGGAGAAUGUUAUCACGGGAGACACACGGCGGGGGCUAACGUCCGUCGUGAAGAGGGAAACAACCCAGACCGCCAGCUAAGGUCCCAAAGUCAUGGUUAAGUGGGAAACGAUGUGGGAAGGCCCAGACAGCCAGGAUGUUGGCUUAGAAGCAGCCAUCAUUUAAAGAAAGCGUAAUAGCUCACUGGUCGAGUCGGCCUGCGCGGAAGAUGUAACGGGGCUAAACCAUGCACCGAAGCUGCGGCAGCGACGCUUAUGCGUUGUUGGGUAGGGGAGCGUUCUGUAAGCCUGUGAAGGUGUGCUGUGAGGCAUGCUGGAGGUAUCAGAAGUGCGAAUGCUGACAUAAGUAACGAUAA